RNAcentral lists this precursor RNA (865 nucleotides) under Aesculus x carnea. RNAcentral describes it as "partial transfer RNA-Leu". The stretch from base 1 to 443 matches the Rfam family "Group I catalytic intron", at positions 71 to 251 of the family's 253-position model. From Rfam's summary of the family: Group I catalytic introns are large self-splicing ribozymes. The record is from RNAcentral. Lineage: Eukaryota; Viridiplantae; Streptophyta; Magnoliopsida; Sapindales; Sapindaceae.
CUGGAAUAAAAAAUGGGCAAUCCUGAGCCAAAUCCCGUUUUAUGAAAACAAAACAAACAGGGGUUCAGAAAAUGAUAAAAGGGAUAGGUGCAGAGACUCAAUGGAAGCUGUUCUAACAAAUGGAGUUGACUUCCUUUUUUUGUUUUGGUAAAAAUGAAUACUUCUAUCGAAUAUCGAAACUCCAUAAAGGAUGAAGGUUAAAUCUAUAUACAUUAUGGAUAUGAAAUGAAAAACUAUCUCAAAAAUAACAACCCAAAUCUGUAUUUAUGUUAAUGAAAAAAAAAAAGCAAAAGAAUUGUUGUGAAUCGCUUACAAGUUAAAGAAAGAAUCGAAUAUUCAUUGAUCAAAUCAUUUACUCCAUAAUCUGGUAGAUCGUUUCUUUUGAAGAACUGAUUAAUCGGACGAGAAUAAAGAUAGAGUCCCAUUCUACAUGUCAAUAUCAAUACCGGCAACAAUGAAAUUUAUAGUAAGAGGAAAAUCCGUCGACUUUAGAAAUCGUGAGGGUUCAAGUCCCUCUAUCCCCAAAAAAGGCCGAUUUGCCUCCCUAAUUCUCCCACCCUUUCUUUUUUUAGUAGUUCAAAAUUCGUUAUGUUUCUCAUUCAUCCUCCUUUUUUACAAACGUAUCCGAGCAAAAUUUGUUUUUUCUCUUAUCACAAUCACAAAAGGUGUGGUAUAUAUGAUAUAUGUACAAAUGAACGCUCGUGAGCAAAGAAUUCCGCUUCACAAUACAUAUGAUUGCUCAUACUGAAACUUACAAAGUUUUCUUUUUGAAGAUUCAAGAGAUGAAUUCCUCGUUCAAGACUUUUAAUACUUUUUUCAUCUUUUUUAAUUGACAUAGACCCCAGUCAUUUAGUAAAAUGAGGAU